Long non-coding RNA from Vigna unguiculata (cowpea), 1486 nucleotides. The record is from RefSeq and is a predicted model, not a curated record. NCBI's taxonomy places the organism in Eukaryota, Viridiplantae, Streptophyta, Magnoliopsida, Fabales, Fabaceae.
CUUUCUAUAAUUAACAGCCAUGGAAACUGCAUCAGAACAAAAGAAGGAAAAGGGGUCGAAGUUAUAAUUCCAAUUUUGUACCUUGCAACGUGGGGACUUACUUCUAGAUUCUUUCAGAGAUGCAAUUUUAACUAGUAAGUGCAUUGGAAUGAAAAAUAAAUAUGCUUGAGGACCACUUGAAAAGGCACGUAAAGCUGGGCUUGCACCAGCUGAGGUAGAAGAAGAAGAUGAAAAGAGAUUAAUCCUCAUAUACCAAAGUUUAGGUCUUCUGCUCCAUGUUAUUUAAAGCUGAGAAAUCUGUAAGCCUCCCAACUUUCUAUUACCUUUCUUUCUCUAUUCCUCUGUAUGCUGGUGAAUGUGUUUUGUGUGGCUUUUUCUAUUUGUUUAGAGUCUUAAACAUCAAAGGAAAUGGAAAUCAGACUCAAAUCAUACAAAAUCUUGGUACGAUAAAAGUGCAAAAAUAUUUCAUGCUACCUGCAGUAGACAGUAAUCACAGCAACAACAGAGUAAUACUUUAAUACAACUCUGGCCAAACCAACCAACCAAUAGUUGAACGGUUGGAAGAUACAAGUUUUUCCGUUUUUAAUCAAUCUACCUACAAUUUUGGAGAUAAAUGUGGUUAUGAUUGUAGGAGGGGAAGUAAUAAUAACUGCAAUGUAAUUGAGAUAGUGGACAAGUGCAGGAAGGGAGCAUGUCAUAAAAGUGUCCAAUGUUAAUCGGAAGCACAGAAGAUAUGUAGCCGUGGGCCUUCAAGGGUAGGUGUCGUGUCUGGUGUUAAUUGAAAGAUGUAUGUUUCUAACUAUUGUCUUCUCCUCCAAGGCAUUUAUGCUAUAUUAUAAAUAUAAAAAAGAAAAGUCAAUGUAGUAAAAUUUGAAAAAAGCCAGGAUAUCCACAUGCAAGCUGCACCUUCCAAAGCUGAAUUCCGUAUAAGAAUUUUGGAUAACUACGGAGAAGUUAUAGUCGCAAAAAAAAAAAAGCAUAAUGGAGAAAUAUGGAAAUGCUGCAGCUCAAGGAGAGCUUUCAAAGAAGCUUCUUUUGGGACAAACAGAGAAAUAUGUAGAAUAUGAUCGUGAUUGCAGAAUUAUAAAUGACCUGGCAUUAUUCGAUAUGUUGUGUUCUCUUUAUUUCAUCUCCAUCCGUCCUGCAGUUUUCCCUUAUCUUUGUUUGAGCGCUGGUUGAAUUUGAUACUCUUGUUCCAACAGAGGAGAAAAGGCUUGCUACUUGAGGAACUGAUGUUCCUGAUGACCUGGUCCUGGACCAGACAAAACUUGCCUAGGCAAGGUCUUUUUUGGCUUUUUAUUUAAUUUUCAUUUACCUGUCAUGUUUCCAUUCCUAGUUAGAGAUCAUGUAAUUCGUUGACAUUGCCCAAGAUUUGGAGCUUGACAUUCUGAAAAUAUGUGGUUAUGAAUAAUGAUUUCAUUUUCUUAGUUUUGUUGAGCUACCAUUUUGUUUGGCCUGCAGAUAAAGAAAAAAGGAGGUAGUGUUU